GUCUCCAACUCCUGACCUCAGGUGAUCCGCCCGCCUCGGCCUCCCAAAGUGCUGGGAUUACAGGCGUGAGCCACUGCGCCCAGUCGCCCAGUUAAUUUUUAAAUUUUUAAAUUUUUUUGUAGAGACAGCGUCUUGCUAUAUUACCCCGGCUGGUUUCGAAUUCUCGGCCUUAAGCUAUCCUCCCACUUCGGGCUCCCAAACAGGUGAGAGCUACCCCAUUAGCCAGGCAGGCAUUCAAACUUUAUCAGGCCCAGAGGGACUUGAGUAU
Molecule: long non-coding RNA, 268 nt
Filed under: Homo sapiens (human)
Lineage: Eukaryota; Metazoa; Chordata; Mammalia; Primates; Hominidae
Description: non-protein coding lnc-ZCCHC7-4:1
Source: RNAcentral